UACGAAGGGGGCUAGCGUUGUUCGGAAUUACUGGGCGUAAAGCGUGCGUAGACGGUUACAUAAGUCGGGUGUGAGAGCCCCGGGCUCAACCUGGGAAUUGCAUUCGAGACUGCGUAGCUAGGGUGCGGAAGAGGGAAGCGGAAUUUCCGGUGUAGCGGUGAAAUGCGUAGAUAUCGGAAGGAACACCAGUGGCGAAAGCGGCUUCCUGGUCCAGCACCGACGUUCAGGCACGAAAGCGUGGGGAGCAAACAGG
RNAcentral lists this ribosomal RNA (253 nucleotides) under uncultured bacterium. Its description in RNAcentral is "partial 16S ribosomal RNA". It matches the Rfam family "Bacterial small subunit ribosomal RNA", at positions 524 to 776 of the family's 1533-position model. The record is from RNAcentral.